Molecule: long non-coding RNA, 1583 nt
Organism: Dicentrarchus labrax (European seabass)
Lineage: Eukaryota; Metazoa; Chordata; Actinopteri; Moronidae
Exons: 2
Source: RefSeq, a predicted model, not a curated record
AAUCCUAACCAUGAGUGCAUCUCUCUGUCUAAAAUUCGCUGCCGCUUUCAUUCCUCCUCUCCCCUCCUUUCUUUGCCCCCUUUGUUUUAUCUCAGGUGAAUUGUAAUCAUGUGAUCAAAACGAGCACCCCCUUCCCCUUAAAUGAAAAAAAAAUGGGGAACAAACAGCAGUUCUGUGCAUAUGAAAAAAGAAAAGAAAAGAAGGGAAAAGCUUGUGUCUUCCCUUCUUCUGCCACUCUUUGUCCGCGUCUCAACAAACUCUUGACAUGUGGGGAAAAAUGCUCCAGGAGCGCGGUGACUCGGCCCCGGGGAGCUGCGGUGGGACUGUCCGGCUCCUGGAGCUUUAAACCGGGGACCUUCGGAGAGCCACUCCGGGGACUUCUCUCCCGCUGCGGAGCGGAGGAUUGCGGCCCGGCCUCGGUUUGACGUGACCUUGGCUUCCAACCAACAACACAGCUUCCACCUCCGAGCCCUAUCGACAAAAGACACACACAACCAGCCGACAACUUUUCAUUAACUGCGUCUCCCUUUUGGUGUAAAGAUUUUAUAACUCCUAAAUUCACCGGGAGGUCGGGAGGGUAGAGCGCAGGUACCGACCGAUGUGUUACUGCAGAGAUGACACACAACACAAACCAGUUAAUGGUCACCAGGUAAAACUGGGGACUUUCGCUGAAGCCAGUUUCCAUAGGAACACAUCUCCUGUGGCAUUUGGGGCACUGAGAGAAGUGGAGAGAGUCACCACAGAUACGGCGGUGUAGGGGGGCUAGUAUACAGUAUUAAGUGCUCUCAUAACAUGAGUCAGAGAGGGAGGGAGAGAUGGGAUGAGAGAAAGGGCAUAAGGGCAGCAAUCCAACAUCUACAUACGAUUAUAAGUAGAUUCUAAAUAAGGCGUAAGAGGAGGCUCUUAGUUGAGACUUUUCUAAACUAUAUUACCGAGUCAGAACAUAAAUGAGGAAGAGAGAAAUCUGGAGUCUAGGACUUGGUUCAAAACGCAUUUUCAAAAAGCUUUUAGAUUUUGCUUUAUCCCACUUUAGUUCCCUUAUGAUUUGCUCAAAGGACACUCCACUCAGAGCAACAGGAUUUCAUUAACUACACAAAUAUACAUAAAGAAAUCGCAUAUCACACAUUUUAUUUAUUUUAUUAAUUCUAAGUAGGGUUGUAAAGAUGUAGAGAGAAGUAGAAAAUAAUAGUACAAGAAAGCAUGCAAUUCAUCUAUCAAAACAUUAACAAGAAUUUUUUAGUCAAUUAAUCUUUUAAGUGACUUAUAGAAAAUGCCAAGAAUUUACUUGUUUAAAUUUCUGAAAUGUAAAGAUUUUCUUCUUUUGUCUUUUUUUAAAUCAAAGUAAAUUGAAUAGACACAGACGACCACCCACCUACAGCCGAAGGAUCUGUCCUAGGUUUCUGCCUUUUAACAGGCAGUUUUUCCUUGCCCCUGUCGCCAAGUGCUUGCUCAUGGUGGUACUGUUGGGUCUCUGUAAAUAAUGUUAUAAAGAGUUUGGUCUAGACCUGCUCUAUUUGAAAAGUGUCCUGAGAUAACUUCUGUUAUGAAUUGGCGCUAUACAAAUAAAAUUGCACUGAAUUGAA